Molecule: long non-coding RNA, 1321 nt
Filed under: Pan paniscus (pygmy chimpanzee)
Lineage: Eukaryota; Metazoa; Chordata; Mammalia; Primates; Hominidae
Description: lncRNA (ENSPPAG00000044968.1)
Source: RNAcentral
UGGAAAGAAGAAAUGACUUUUUUGGUAGACUAUAGUAACAAUAUUACAUCCCCAGGCUCCAGCAAAGAACUGUAGGCCCCUGCAUUUUGCCCCAUUCUUCGUUUCUCUUUUGCUCAUGGCAAGAGCUUGCUGGAGUGGGGGAGGUACAGCUGGUACCUUGACAAGCACUGGCCUUUGUCCCAGGAGGGACGUCUUUUCUCUCUGCUUAUUGGAGGCUCCAGCAGAGAAUGGAGACUUCUGAAUGAGACUCACUGGGCUUCUCUUAAAUUGUUCAUGUCUGACCCAGUGGGUUUGGCAUUUUUAGGAGUAUUAUGUGAUGUCAGUUGAUGUCUAAAUGCAUGUCACCCAUGAGAGGUUUGCCAGGGAGCGGCCAGAGGCCUGAGUGGCAUUUGGUUGAGACAGGCAAGAGAGAGGGUAAGAUAUUAAGAUGUUUUGGGAAAGAGCAGGUUUUAGGUCAUUUCCCUAAUUAUUCAUGGGAUCAUUCCUGGGUUCCUUGGCAAAGAAAUGGUGUGUGUGUGUGUGUUUGUGUAUUCACAGUGGUUGGUUGGAGGCUAAGGAAGUCUAAGGACUAGGGUAGAAGUUGGGCUCACUUCAUAUAAUGAAUGUUUUCUUUUGGCGGAGCGUGGUUCUGGCCAGGUGGGGUCUGAGGCUGUCUGCAUGGUUCCUGGGGAAAAGAUAGGCCCCCAAGCCUUAAGAGAUUAGUAACCAUUGGAUUGAGGAAGUAUGAUAUUUCUGGAUUUAAAGUGAUAUCUGAAGAGCAAAUACCCUAAUAACUAUGAUUCAGAAACUUGGAAUAUGUUUUUAAUAGAAUGUGUUUGGGUUGAAAGAAGCCUAACUCAGUUUUCUUUGGGAUCAGAAACAAUAAUAAUAAUGCAUUUUUGAGGCAUCUUUAAUUUCAGUUGCCUUCCUCCAGUCCGGUGAAGGAAAGACAUCCUGUCCCCAUUGCAUAUAAAUAAUGAGAUGACUAUGAUGGUGAUGAUGCUGAUGAUGAUAAUGGUGAUGAUGGUGAUGGUAAUGACAUUGAUGAUGAUGAUGGUGAUGAUGAUGAUGAUGACAUUGAUGAUGAUGAUGGUGAUGAUGACGGUGAUGAUGGUGAUGAUGAUGGUGAUGGUGAUGAUGAUGAUGACAGUGAUGAUGAUGGUGAUGAUGAUGGUGAUAGUGAUGAUGAUGGUAAUGAUGACAGUGAUGAUGAUGGUGAUGAUGAUGGUGAUGAUGACAGUGAUGAUGAUGGUGAUGAUGAUGGAUUGUAGCUACUCUUUACUGAGGGUUGUGUUCUAGGGAUUGUGCUUAAUAGCUGACAUACCUCAUUUCAUGUGCUCCU